CACGGCGCGUGCGCAGGGGCCGAAGCGCCACGCGCUUCCCAUUCCACCGCGCGCUCUCCUUGAGGAACGCUCCGCCCAGUUCCCUUGUGCGCGUGCGCCCGGGAAACGCUUCCUUUGCCCGACCUAGGUUCGCGUCCGCGAGUACCGCCUGUUUGCCGUCGCUCCGCCCGGCAGCUUCACGUGCUCCGAAGCGGCCGCGGAGAAGCCUCCUAUAAGUGGACAGGGUGGUGUCCACAGAGUCAAUACAACACUAGAUCUGGCAUCGGAUGCCCUGUGUGUAAGACCAGCUUUCCCGUGCAUUGAAGGAGUGACUUGGCAAAGCUACUUAACCUCCUUCAGUUUCAGUUUCUUCAGUUGUAAAAUGGGAAUGAAAACAGCAUCUUCCCCAGAGGUUACACAUGAGGAUGAAAUGAGGUUUCAUUCUUAGACAGAACCUCCCCUCAUGGCUGACAGAAGGCUGCAGCCUCUCAAGACUUCACACUGCCAGGACUUCAAGUCUGUUGGGGAGAAGGAGACCACUCGUCCUCAGCAUAUGAACAAAAGCCCCAGGUCUGGUUAUCAUUGGCUGAAUUGGGUCAUGUGCCCAUCCUGAAAUCAAUCACUUUGGGGCCCUGUCUUAUUGAGGAAGGCAGUGACGGAAAACGCCUGGCCUAUCACAUGACUGAUCUCCGCUGUCAUGAGCCAUCGUUCUCUAACUGCAAGCUUUCAUUUUCAAAGUCCUGGCAUGAUUUCAGGAGCUGUAAACCUUCAUAUGAAACAGAAAUGGAACAUGGUGAUGGAAGCAAAAGAAAAAGCCCAGGUUGAAAGGCCUGGGCUACUUCAGAGGUCCCUCCCUGGCCACGGUCUGGAAGCUUCUCAUGAGAGACUCCUACCUUGGGCAGCAUGUAGUCUCUAGGUCAUCUUUUCCAGGAGAAAAAGUGGCAACUCUAAAUGUACCUGUUGAAAUGGCCCCAAGAAGGAAGUAGACAGGAUCCCUGAGUGACACUGGAAGAAAUGACCCCAGUGAGCUGAUUGACCUGCAAUGGAUUUUGGG
This is a long non-coding RNA of Myotis daubentonii (Daubenton's bat), 1033 nucleotides long. RefSeq lists it as uncharacterized. The record is from RefSeq and is a predicted model, not a curated record. NCBI's taxonomy places the organism in Eukaryota, Metazoa, Chordata, Mammalia, Chiroptera, Vespertilionidae.